GCAUGGUGUGCACCGAAGGACUUGAGAACUGAGUUUGCUUGAAAUUAAAACAGUGUGGCCUUGAAACUACCUCUGAUUUAACCAGACACUCACUCACUCCCUGUGAGCAUACCAACUUCACCAAUACAACAGCCAUCUGGCUAGAAAUGAGGUGACAGAGGAGAGAAAAAGCAAGCAGGAUACACAUCUUCGGGUACACUAAAAGUUUGCAGCAUCCUAUCAAAUCUUUGGCUUUGGAAAUCAUUGGAUUGUCUUUGUCACACUCAGGUGGCGUCAAACGUAGGGACCAUCUCUACUGUUUCUUUAGAGGAAAGCAGCAGAUUUGGUGCUUUUCUCAACCUGGAUGUUCUUCGUUUUUCUGUCUUGUUCCUGUGGAGGAUGUGUCCUUGUUCCGGUGGAUGUGCACCUUUUAUGUUUAUCUCAAACGCAACAGACACUACAAUCACUUUAAUGAGAGGUGAAGGCUGAAGGAAAGAAAAUAAGAAUGAACAAAGUCUUAUUAUAUAACGUAAUAGGGAUGUUAAUAGUUACAUACAUAGAUGCAUAUUACCGUAGCUCAUCCAUGUAUUUGUGUGUGUUUUAUACAAAACAAAGAAAGGUGAUCAAAAUUUUGGAUGGAGAAAAAUCCAUUGCUAAAGAACUAUUGUGUCAACAUUGCCAAAUGUUUUUUUAUGUUAUUUAUAUGUUUAUUUCUUUUAUGUUUUUUAAAUUAAUGUUAAUGUACUUCAUGCAUACAGAGGCCAAACUAU
Long non-coding RNA from Sinocyclocheilus grahami, 749 nucleotides. RefSeq lists it as uncharacterized. The record is from RefSeq and is a predicted model, not a curated record. The transcript is spliced from 2 exons. NCBI's taxonomy places the organism in Eukaryota, Metazoa, Chordata, Actinopteri, Cypriniformes, Cyprinidae.